RNAcentral lists this ribosomal RNA (356 nucleotides) under uncultured beta proteobacterium. Its description in RNAcentral is "bacterial SSU rRNA". It matches the Rfam family "Bacterial small subunit ribosomal RNA", at positions 152 to 503 of the family's 1533-position model. The record is from RNAcentral. Lineage: Bacteria; Pseudomonadati; Pseudomonadota; Betaproteobacteria.
CGAAAGAUUAGCUAAUACCGCAUACGACCUGAGGGUGAAAGUGGGGGACCGCAAGGCCUCACGCAGCAGGAGCGGCCGAUGUCUGAUUAGCUAGUUGGUGGGGUAAAGGCCCACCAAGGCGACGAUCAGUAGCUGGUCUGAGAGGACGAUCAGCCACACUGGGACUGAGACACGGCCCAGACUCCUACGGGAGGCAGCAGUGGGGAAUUUUGGACAAUGGGGGCAACCCUGAUCCAGCAAUGCCGCGUGUGUGAAGAAGGCCUUCGGGUUGUAAAGCACUUUUGUCCGGAAAGAAAUCGCGCUGGUUAAUACCUGGCGUGGAUGACGGUACCGGAAGAAUAAGCACCGGCUAACUA